Non-coding RNA from Pelobates cultripes (western spadefoot toad), 256 nucleotides. NCBI's taxonomy places the organism in Eukaryota, Metazoa, Chordata, Amphibia, Anura, Pelobatidae. The record is from the annotation of a GenBank genome assembly.
GUAAAAUACAUAAAUACAUCACAGUUUACAUGGAGAAACACAGGAUACAAGGGAAAAUCGUGGGAAUAAACAUUGGGAACACAAGAUACAAGGCAAAACUAUACAAACUCAGUGGGCAUGGUACACAGAUUUUCUUAGGUUUCUAUGCCAAUGAUUUUCACCAAAUUCUGUUUGCCUAGUGAAUAAACAUCUAAAUUGUUCUGACUGUAUUUCAUGACAAUUCUGUGUGGUUGGCCCUUUUUUUCCAGGCUUUUUC